RNAcentral lists this unclassified non-coding RNA (433 nucleotides) under soil metagenome. Its description in RNAcentral is "partial contains 5.8S ribosomal RNA, internal transcribed spacer 2, and large subunit ribosomal RNA". The stretch from base 1 to 120 matches the Rfam family "5.8S ribosomal RNA", at positions 35 to 154 of the family's 154-position model. The record is from RNAcentral.
GAUGAAGAACGCAGCGAAAUGCGAUACGUAAUGUGAAUUGCAGAAUUCAGUGAAUCAUCGAAUCUUUGAACGCAUAUUGCGCUCUCUGGUAUUCCGGAGAGCAUGCUUGUUUGAGUAUCAGUAAACACCUCAACUUCCAUAUCUUUUUUGAAAUGGGAGUUGGACUUGAGUGAUCCCAACGCUUUUCCCCACCGAAAAGUGGCGGGUUACUUGAAAUGCAGGUGCAGCUGGACUUUUCUCUGAGCUAUAAGCAUAUCUAUUUAGUCUGCCUAAAAAACAGAUUAUUACCUUUGCUGCAGCUAACAUAAAGGAGAUUAGUUCUUGUGCUGACUGAUGCAGGAUUCACAAAGACAGGCUUCGGCCGACUUUGUAAACUCGAUCUCAAAUCAAGUAAGACUACCCGCUGAACUUAAGCAUAUCAAUAAGCGGAGGA